This 471-nucleotide ribosomal RNA is filed under the name uncultured bacterium. RNAcentral describes it as "SSU rRNA". It matches the Rfam family "Bacterial small subunit ribosomal RNA", at positions 26 to 518 of the family's 1533-position model. The record is from RNAcentral.
AGGACGAACGCUGGCGGCGUGCUUAACACAUGCAAGUCGAACGGAAAGGCCCUUUCGGGGGUACUCGAGUGGCGAACGGGUGAGUAACACGUGGGUGAUCUGCCCUGCACUUUGGGAUAAGCCUGGGAAACUGGGUCUAAUACCGAAUACACCUUGCUGGCUGCAUGGCCUGGUGGGGGAAAGCUUUUGCGGUGUGGGAUGGGCCCGCGGCCUAUCAGCUUGUUGGUGGGGUGAUGGCCUACCAAGGCGACGACGGGUAGCCGGCCUGAGAGGGUGUCCGGCCACACUGGGACUGAGAUACGGCCCAGACUCCUACGGGAGGCAGCAGUGGGGAAUUUUGCGCAAUGGGGGAAACCCUGACGCAGCAACGCCGCGUGGAGGAUGAAAUAUCUUGGUAUGUAAACUCCUUUCGAUGGGGAAGAUUAUGACGGUACCAUAGAAGAAGCCCGGCUAACUCGCGCCAGCAGCCGC